CCUACGGGGCGCAGCAGUGGGGGAUAUUGCACAAUGGGGGAAACCCUGAUGCAGCAACGCCGCGUGAGUGAUGAAGGUCUUCGGAUUGUAAAACUCUGUUCUUGGUGAAGAUAAUGACGGUAGCCAAGGAGAAAGCUCCGGCUAACUACGUGCCAGCAGCCGCGGUAAUACGUAGGGAGCGAGCGUUAUCCGGAUUUAUUGGGUGUAAAGGGUGCGUAGACGGGAAUACAAGUUGGUUGUGAAAGCCCUCGGCUUAACUGAGGAACUGCAACCAAAACUAUAUUUCUUGAGUAUCGGAGAGGAAA
This 305-nucleotide ribosomal RNA is filed under the name uncultured bacterium. Its description in RNAcentral is "bacterial SSU rRNA". It matches the Rfam family "Bacterial small subunit ribosomal RNA", at positions 338 to 660 of the family's 1533-position model. The record is from RNAcentral.